RNAcentral lists this non-coding RNA (45 nucleotides) under Schistosoma margrebowiei. The record is from RNAcentral. Lineage: Eukaryota; Metazoa; Platyhelminthes; Trematoda; Strigeidida; Schistosomatidae.
AUCCAGUUGAUGAGUCCGAAAUAGGACAAAACACACGUCCUAGAU